CCAAAGGCUCUUUUAAGAGCCAC
Non-coding RNA from Eurypyga helias (sunbittern), 23 nucleotides. NCBI's taxonomy places the organism in Eukaryota, Metazoa, Chordata, Aves, Eurypygiformes, Eurypygidae. The record is from Rfam.